RNAcentral lists this ribosomal RNA (2923 nucleotides) under [Kluyvera] intestini. Its description in RNAcentral is "bacterial LSU rRNA". It matches the Rfam family "Bacterial large subunit ribosomal RNA". The record is from RNAcentral. Lineage: Bacteria; Pseudomonadati; Pseudomonadota; Gammaproteobacteria; Enterobacterales; Enterobacteriaceae.
GGGUUGUGAGGUUAAGCGACUAAGCGUACACGGUGGAUGCCCUGGCAGUCAGAGGCGAUGAAGGACGUGCUAAUCUGCGAAAAGCGCCGGCGAGGUGAUAUGAACCUUUGACCCGGCGAUGUCCGAAUGGGGAAACCCAGUGCAAUCCGUUGCACUAUCGUUUGAUGAAUACAUAGUCAAACGAGGCGAACCGGGGGAACUGAAACAUCUAAGUACCCCGAGGAAAAGAAAUCAACCGAGAUUCCCCCAGUAGCGGCGAGCGAACGGGGAGCAGCCCAGAGCCUGAAUCAGCUUGUGUGUUAGUGGAACGGUCUGGAAAGUCCGGCGAUACAGGGUGACAGCCCCGUACACGAAAGCACACAGGCUGUGAGCUCGAUGAGUAGGGCGGGACACGUGGUAUCCUGUCUGAAUAUGGGGGGACCAUCCUCCAAGGCUAAAUACUCCUGACUGACCGAUAGUGAACCAGUACCGUGAGGGAAAGGCGAAAAGAACCCCGGCGAGGGGAGUGAAAAAGAACCUGAAACCGUGUACGUACAAGCAGUGGGAGCCUCUUAAUGGGGUGACUGCGUACCUUUUGUAUAAUGGGUCAGCGACUUAUAUUCUGUAGCAAGGUUAACCGAAUAGGGGAGCCGAAGGGAAACCGAGUCUUAACUGGGCGUUAAGUUGCAGGGUAUAGACCCGAAACCCGGUGAUCUAGCCAUGGGCAGGUUGAAGGUUGGGUAACACUAACUGGAGGACCGAACCGACUAAUGUUGAAAAAUUAGCGGAUGACUUGUGGCUGGGGGUGAAAGGCCAAUCAAACCGGGAGAUAGCUGGUUCUCCCCGAAAGCUAUUUAGGUAGCGCCUCGUGAAUUCAUCUCCGGGGGUAGAGCACUGUUUCGGCUAGGGGGCCAUCCCGGCUUACCAACCCGAUGCAAACUACGAAUACCGGAGAAUGUUAUCACGGGAGACACACGGCGGGUGCUAACGUCCGUCGUGAAGAGGGAAACAACCCAGACCGCCAGCUAAGGUCCCAAAGUCAUGGUUAAGUGGGAAACGAUGUGGGAAGGCACAGACAGCCAGGAUGUUGGCUUAGAAGCAGCCAUCAUUUAAAGAAAGCGUAAUAGCUCACUGGUCGAGUCGGCCUGCGCGGAAGAUGUAACGGGGCUAAACCAUGCACCGAAGCUGCGGCAGCGACACUAAGUGUUGUUGGGUAGGGGAGCGUUCUGUAAGCCUGCGAAGGUGUGCUGUGAGGCAUGCUGGAGGUAUCAGAAGUGCGAAUGCUGACAUAAGUAACGAUAAAGCGGGUGAAAAGCCCGCUCGCCGGAAGACCAAGGGUUCCUGUCCAACGUUAAUCGGGGCAGGGUGAGUCGACCCCUAAGGCGAGGCCGAAAGGCGUAGUCGAUGGGAAACAGGUUAAUAUUCCUGUACUUGGUGUUACUGCGAAGGGGGGACGGAGAAGGCUAUGUUAGCCGGGCGACGGUUGUCCCGGUUUAAGCAUGUAGGCUGGUUAUCCAGGCAAAUCCGGAUAAUCAAGGCUGAGGUGUGAUGACGAGUCACUACGGUGAUGAAGUAACAAAUGCCCUGCUUCCAGGAAAAGCCUCUAAGCAUCAGGUAACACGAAAUCGUACCCCAAACCGACACAGGUGGUCAGGUAGAGAAUACCAAGGCGCUUGAGAGAACUCGGGUGAAGGAACUAGGCAAAAUGGUGCCGUAACUUCGGGAGAAGGCACGCUGAUAUGUAGGUGAAGCCCCUGCGGGCGGAGCUGAAAUCAGUCGAAGAUACCAGCUGGCUGCAACUGUUUAUUAAAAACACAGCACUGUGCAAACACGAAAGUGGACGUAUACGGUGUGACGCCUGCCCGGUGCCGGAAGGUUAAUUGAUGGGGUUAUCCGUAAGGAGAAGCUCUUGAUCGAAGCCCCGGUAAACGGCGGCCGUAACUAUAACGGUCCUAAGGUAGCGAAAUUCCUUGUCGGGUAAGUUCCGACCUGCACGAAUGGCGUAAUGAUGGCCAGGCUGUCUCCACCCGAGACUCAGUGAAAUUGAACUCGCUGUGAAGAUGCAGUGUACCCGCGGCAAGACGGAAAGACCCCGUGAACCUUUACUAUAGCUUGACACUGAACAUUGAGCCUUGAUGUGUAGGAUAGGUGGGAGGCUUUGAAGCGUGGACGCCAGUCUGCGUGGAGCCAACCUUGAAAUACCACCCUUUAAUGUUUGAUGUUCUAACGUGGACCCGUAAUCCGGGUUGCGGACAGUGUCUGGUGGGUAGUUUGACUGGGGCGGUCUCCUCCCAAAGAGUAACGGAGGAGCACGAAGGUUGGCUAAUCCUGGUCGGACAUCAGGAGGUUAGUGCAAUGGCAUAAGCCAGCUUGACUGCGAGCGUGACGGCGCGAGCAGGUGCGAAAGCAGGUCAUAGUGAUCCGGUGGUUCUGAAUGGAAGGGCCAUCGCUCAACGGAUAAAAGGUACUCCGGGGAUAACAGGCUGAUACCGCCCAAGAGUUCAUAUCGACGGCGGUGUUUGGCACCUCGAUGUCGGCUCAUCACAUCCUGGGGCUGAAGUAGGUCCCAAGGGUAUGGCUGUUCGCCAUUUAAAGUGGUACGCGAGCUGGGUUUAGAACGUCGUGAGACAGUUCGGUCCCUAUCUGCCGUGGGCGCUGGAGAAUUGAGGGGGGCUGCUCCUAGUACGAGAGGACCGGAGUGGACGCAUCACUGGUGUUCGGGUUGUCAUGCCAAUGGCACUGCCCGGUAGCUACAUGCGGAAGAGAUAAGUGCUGAAAGCAUCUAAGCACGAAACUUGCCCCGAGAUGAGUUCUCCCCUGGACUUUAAGUCCACUAAAGGAACGUUGAAGACGACGACGUUGAUAGGCCGGGUGUGUAAGCGCAGCGAUGCGUUGAGCUAACCGGUACUAAUGAACCGUGAGGCUUAACCUUACAACGCCGAAG